UUUUUAACGAGAGUUUGAUCCUGGCUCAGGAUGAACGCUGGCGGCGUGCUUAACACAUGCAAGUCGAACGAAGCACUUAUCUUUGAUUCUUCGGAUGAAGAGGUUUGUGACUGAGUGGCGGACGGG
Molecule: ribosomal RNA, 126 nt
Filed under: Allocoprococcus comes
Lineage: Bacteria; Bacillati; Bacillota; Clostridia; Lachnospirales; Lachnospiraceae
Description: Coprococcus comes partial 16S ribosomal RNA
Rfam family: Bacterial small subunit ribosomal RNA
Source: RNAcentral